This is a long non-coding RNA of Triticum aestivum (bread wheat), 854 nucleotides long. RefSeq lists it as uncharacterized. The record is from RefSeq and is a predicted model, not a curated record. Lineage: Eukaryota; Viridiplantae; Streptophyta; Magnoliopsida; Poales; Poaceae. The transcript is spliced from 3 exons.
GCCGCUAUGGCAUACAGCGGCUGCGCCCAACGCUUCCUUUCCCCCGCACCCGUUGACCUCCUGAAUCGGUUCCCCUCGUCUCCCACGACCCCUCACCUGUAGUAGUGCGCCUUAAUGCACGCCCUAAUGGCCAUUACCACACAGGAAAUGGCUGCCGUUGAUGCCCUUAACAUUGACGAUGCCCCGCCCCGUUCCAGCUCUCCCCUAUGCUAUAAAAGGGUUCCCGAGGAACCUCUCUUCUCCUCCACAUCUCCCAGUCAACGAAACCCUCUCCAACGCCCUUCGAUUCCCGAGCAAUUGCUCGCCGGAGCCGAGCACUGCUGUCUUCUUGCGUUGAAGCUCGGGACCUCUCCACCGGAGCACCACCUCCGUGAAGAACACGACCCACCGGAGUUCCACGCAACUCCGGCGUCUUCUGUACCGCGCCCGAGGACGAGGCCGAGCCCACCUCCACGUCCCUCAAGUCCUCCUUCGCCUCCUCUCCGCCGUCCACCUUGCCUUCGUCACCGGAGACUGUCGGAAUCCCACAAACCAGAGCCGCCGAUGUUGCCUUACGUCGUCGGCCAUCUAUCCCCAUCUCGACAGAUUAAGAGACGAUAGGGUUAUGGUCUACACUCAACGAGCCCAGUGGCGUUGAUGGAGCCCUAACUUAGCGACUACGUAUAAUUCCGUUGUAUUAUGUGCUAUCUUGAGUUGUGCCUAAGGUAUGAUUUAUAUAUAUCUGGAUCUACCGUUGUAGUAGAAUGAUGUAUGUCUUACUGAUAUUCAUUCUUGUUACUGUGUGUGCUAGCUAUGAUCCAGGGAUAACACAAUAAGCACAGAUACUUGGAUUCUACCAAAUUCGGGUCGUGACA